GCUAACUAGCGGGCAGCAGCGGGGGUAAGUCGUGGGGUGUAAGCGUUAACUGGGAUUACUGGGCGGAAGGCGGUUGUAUGGGGUUCUGAAAUAAAGAGGGGAAAUCCCAGGGCUCAACCUUGGAACUGAAUUGUUAUCGGCCGAGCUAGAGGAUGUGAGAGUGGGGGAGAAUUCCACGUGUAGCAGUGAAAUGCGUAGAUAUGUGGAGGAAUACCGAUGGCGAAGGGAGCCCCCUGGGAUAAUACUGACGCUCAGACACGAAAGCGUGGGGAGCAAACAGGAUUAGAUACCCUAGUAGUC
This 300-nucleotide ribosomal RNA is filed under the name uncultured Methanocella sp. Its description in RNAcentral is "bacterial SSU rRNA". It matches the Rfam family "Bacterial small subunit ribosomal RNA", at positions 496 to 795 of the family's 1533-position model. The record is from RNAcentral. Lineage: Archaea; Methanobacteriati; Methanobacteriota; Methanomicrobia; Methanocellales; Methanocellaceae.